GGUGCACCUUAAGAAAGCACCGAGCAAAAGACAAGAGAGCCUGAGAACCAAAAAGUGAAAAGGAGGAAAGAACAAAGGAUGUCAUUCAAUAAGAAAAAAGUCAAGAAGGAAAUGAGAACACAUUGGAAUCAAGAAAUACAAGGGAGGAGAGAAAUACAGGAAACAUUUCAAAAAGACUGAUGCUUCAAACAAGAGAAUUAUCCGAGUGAAAGAGAAGAUUUAUUCGAAGGUACAAAACGGAGGUGCACACUCAUUUUAACAAAAUGCUGAGUUAGAGCUAAGAUCUACUCGUAAGGCCACGGUCUGGAAGGUUAUCGCUAAGGGCUGUUUAAAAAUUUGAAAUGUUCCCGCUAAAAAACUUAAUAAAAAUUGGCGCGCCCGUAUUUUUUUAAUUGUUCUGUAAGUAACAUCUGUUUAAAUGCGGCAAAUUUUCCCGCCAAAAAACUUAAAAAAAUCGGUGCUCUAAAAUACGCAUGCGCCGAAUUUUUUUUCCAUUAGAGUUAUAUUUUCUAAAUAUAGUCUACGUUGCUAAUAGACUUGGUAUUUAUUUUCUUGUAUCGUAUUACUAUUAGUAAACAAGGCAAUAAAGCUUAGUGAUCAGU
Molecule: long non-coding RNA, 602 nt
Organism: Stylophora pistillata
Lineage: Eukaryota; Metazoa; Cnidaria; Anthozoa; Scleractinia; Pocilloporidae
Source: RefSeq, a predicted model, not a curated record